This 486-nucleotide ribosomal RNA is filed under the name uncultured bacterium. RNAcentral describes it as "partial 16S ribosomal RNA". It matches the Rfam family "Bacterial small subunit ribosomal RNA", at positions 30 to 507 of the family's 1533-position model. The record is from RNAcentral.
AUUGAACGCUGGCGGCAUGCCUUACACAUGCAAGUCGAACGGCAGCACGGGUGCUUGCACCUGGUGGCGAGUGGCGAACGGGUGAGUAAUACAUCGGAACAUGUCCUGUAGUGGGGGAUAGCCCAGCGAAAGCCGGAUUAAUACCGCAUACGAUCUACGGAUGAAAGCGGGGGACCUUCGGGCCUCGCGCUAUAGGGUUGGCCGAUGGCUGAUUAGCUAGUUGGUGGGGUAAAGGCCUACCAAGGCGACGAUCAGUAGCUGGUCUGAGAGGACGACCAGCCACACUGGGACUGAGACACGGCCCAGACUCCUACGGGAGGCAGCAGUGGGGAAUUUUGGACAAUGGGCGAAAGCCUGAUCCAGCAAUGCCGCGUGUGUGAAGAAGGCCUUCGGGUUGUAAAGCACUUUUCUCCGGAAAGAAAUCCUUGGCCCUAAUACGGUCGGGGGAUGACGGUACCGGAAGAAUAAGCACCGGCUAACUACGUG